This is a non-coding RNA of Phoenix dactylifera (date palm), 413 nucleotides long. Lineage: Eukaryota; Viridiplantae; Streptophyta; Magnoliopsida; Arecales; Arecaceae. The record is from RefSeq and is a predicted model, not a curated record.
GAAAUCUUACCUGGGUUGAAGUUAUCAGUAGCAGCUGCAAGCUCCUGGUAGUCAAAGCUCCUCCAAGAGGGCCUUCCCCUUCUAAUCUCUGCUAAUCAAGCCACCAAUCAAAGUCCUCCACUGCAAGCUGUGGGACUCCAACACUGUUCCAUCUGGAGCAAUUGAUCGGUCCCCCGACAAAGUAUCCCUGCUGAUGCUGCUGCUGCUGCCGACAUCAGAAUCUGCACUAGAUAUUGGGAUCUCUAGCACACCACGAGGGGAGUUCUGAUCAGAGCUAUUGCUGAUAUUAUCAUCAGGCUUUGCUUCUGAGCUUUUUCUGUUUUCCCCUAUUUCUGAUUGAUGGAAAAAAAAUGAUUGCAAAUUGUUUUUAAACAAGGGGUAGAAACUAAUAAAAAUCUGAUCUUUUCUUGACU